Ornithodoros turicata is the source of this 431-nucleotide long non-coding RNA. RefSeq lists it as uncharacterized. Lineage: Eukaryota; Metazoa; Arthropoda; Arachnida; Ixodida; Argasidae. The transcript is spliced from 2 exons. The record is from RefSeq and is a predicted model, not a curated record.
CGUUUAUCGCGAGUAGCCAAAGUCAAAGAUUGUCGAGAGGAUUUUUUGUACUUACGGAUCACGAAUCGCUGGCGGCGCCGGCAUGGCUGGGAGUGGGGUGCUGAGAAUCACGAAAAUUAGUCAAAGAGAUUCAGAGAUUCAACUGCUACCACGCACCGAAAGACACUUAUACGGUCAUAAAUAUGCAGUUUGUGCGGCAACGCAAGAGUCGAGAGAAAAAGUGGCGUCAGUCGGAAGCAAGCGUCUUUCUCCUAGCAACAGCGUGACCGUUUCUCCUCUUUGCCCAACGUUAGAAUUCUGCCAACUGCUGUGGUGAGCAGAUGGAAAUCGGCCUUCAAAAAAGCAACGUCGCCAGACUUUAGGGCUUACCUGACAGGUUGCACACCUUAUGAUGUCCUACUUGCGAAAACUAUAAAAGCAAUUUCCUGAUA